Molecule: ribosomal RNA, 506 nt
Filed under: uncultured bacterium
Lineage: Bacteria
Description: partial 16S ribosomal RNA
Rfam family: Bacterial small subunit ribosomal RNA
Source: RNAcentral
AUUGAACGCUGGCGGCAGGCCUAACACAUGCAAGUCGGACGGUAACAGGAAGCAGCUUGCUGCUUCGCUGACGAGUGGCGGACGGGUGAGUAAAGUCUGGGAAACUGCCUGAUGGAGGGGGAUAACUACUGGAAACGGUAGCUAAUACCGCAUAACGUCGCAAGACCAAAGAGGGGGACCUUCGGGCCUCUUGCCAUCAGAUGUGCCCAGAUGGGAUUAGCUAGUAGGUGGGGUAAAGGCUCACCUAGGCGACGAUCCCUAGCUGGUCUGAGAGGAUGACCAGCCACACUGGAACUGAGACACGGUCCAGACUCCUACGGGAGGCAGCAGUGGGGAAGAUUGCACAAUGGGCGCAAGCCUGAUGCAGCCAUGCCGCGUGUAUGAAGAAGGCCUUCGGGUUGUAAAGUACUUUCAGCGGGGAGGAAGGCAAUGCGGUUAAUAACCGUGUUGAUUGACGUUACCCGCAGAGGAAGCACCGGCUAACUCCGUGCCAGCAGCCGCGGUAA